Molecule: ribosomal RNA, 253 nt
Filed under: uncultured bacterium
Lineage: Bacteria
Description: partial 16S ribosomal RNA
Rfam family: Bacterial small subunit ribosomal RNA
Source: RNAcentral
UACAGAGGGGGCAAGCGUUAUUCGGAAUUAUUGGGCGUAAAGGGCGCGUAGGCGGCUUUGCAAGUGGCGGGUGAAAUCCCUCGGCUUAACCGAGGAACUGCCUGCCAGACUGUGAGGCUUGAGACCGGGAGAGGUGAGUGGAAUUCCCAGUGUAGCGGUGAAAUGCGUAGAUAUUGGGAGGAACACCAGUGGCGAAGGCGGCUCACUGGACCGGAACUGACGCUGAGGCGCGAAAGCUAGGGGAGCAAACAGG